CUGCAAUGAUGUGACCACACUUGCCUGAGCAG
Molecule: non-coding RNA, 32 nt
Filed under: Homo sapiens (human)
Lineage: Eukaryota; Metazoa; Chordata; Mammalia; Primates; Hominidae
Source: RNAcentral